UACAGAGAGUGCAAACGUUGUUCGGAAUCACUGGGCUUAAAGCGCACGUAGGCGGCAUUGUAAGUGUCGGGUGAAAUCCCACGGCUCACCCGUGGAACUGCCCGGCAGACUGCAGUGCUUGAGUGUGGUAGGGGAAAGCGGAACUCCUGGUGGAGCGGUGAAAUGCGUAGAUAUCAGGAGGAACACCGGUGGCGAAGGCGGCUUUCUGGUCCACAACUGACGCUGAGGUGCGAAAGCUAGGGGAGCAAACGGG
RNAcentral lists this ribosomal RNA (253 nucleotides) under uncultured bacterium. Its description in RNAcentral is "partial 16S ribosomal RNA". It matches the Rfam family "Bacterial small subunit ribosomal RNA", at positions 524 to 776 of the family's 1533-position model. The record is from RNAcentral.